RNAcentral lists this ribosomal RNA (229 nucleotides) under uncultured bacterium. RNAcentral's name for it is "partial 16S ribosomal RNA". It matches the Rfam family "Bacterial small subunit ribosomal RNA", at positions 1271 to 1500 of the family's 1533-position model. The record is from RNAcentral.
AACUUAUAAAAGCGACCUCAGUUCGGAUUGAAGGCUGAAAUUCGCCUUCAUGAAGUCGGAAUUGCUAGUAAUGGCAGGUCAGCAUACUGCCGUGAAUACGUUCCCGGGCCUUGUACACACCGCCCGUCACACCAUGAGAGUUGGAGAUACCCGAAGCCUAUGAGCUAACUUUUAGAGGCAGUAGUCGAAGGUAGAAUCAAUGAUUGGGGUGAAGUCGUAACAAGGUACC